RNA transcript from Helianthus annuus (common sunflower), 5519 nucleotides. It is a transcript of the gene named calcium-dependent protein kinase 20, with no coding region annotated. The transcript is spliced from 9 exons. The record is from RefSeq and is a predicted model, not a curated record. Lineage: Eukaryota; Viridiplantae; Streptophyta; Magnoliopsida; Asterales; Asteraceae.
UGAAGAAAAAAGCAUAUUUCUUUUGUCCACUGCUUUCUUAUCUCCACUCAUAUCUUGUCUUCAAUCAGAUCACUUCCAUCUUAUUUCCACUAAUCUUAUUUACAUACAUUCAUAGCAUACACACCAAUUACUCCCAAUCCAAUUUCCAGUUUACGUUUUCACUGUUAACAAUGGCUGAAGCCGCUGCUGCUGCCCUGAUCAAAGUCAUUUUUGAGAAGCUAGCCGUUGAAGCCUUCAAGAAAUAUGCUCGCUCUCAGAAUAUCCACUCCGAGCUCAAGCAAUUGGGGAUCACGUUGUCCCAUAUCCAAGCUCUGCUUAACGAUGCUUCUCACAAGGAAAUAACUCAUGAAUCUGUCAGACUAUGGCUCACUAGUCUCCAACAUUUGGCUUACGAUAUCGAUGACGUACUCGACGAUGUGGCUACUGAAGCAAUCAAUCGUGAGCUGAACCCGGAAUCAGAAGCAAGCACCAGCAUGGUAAGAAAGCUCAUCCCAACUUGCUGCACAAACUUCUCACUAAGUCAUAGGUUGUCUCCUAAGUUAGAUAGUAUUACCACCCAGUUACAACAUCUAGAAAAACAAAAGGGUGAUCUGGGUUUAAUUGUAAAAGAUGAAAAGCCAAAAAAUACUAGUAGAAGAAACGAAACAUCUUUGCUAGAAUCUGAUGUUGUUGGACGAGAAGGUGAGAGAGAGAAGUUGAUCAACAAGUUGUUACAAGAUGAGCCAUCUAAGGAAAACUUUAUUAUCGUACCCAUAGUUGGUAUGGGUGGGGUGGGUAAGACCACUAUGGCUAGAAUAUUGUAUAACGAUACACGAGUGAGGGAUCACUUUAAACUCAAGGCAUGGGUUUGUGUAUCCGAUGAGUUUGAUAUAUUUAAAAUAAGUGAAACUAUAUAUCAAUCUGUGGCUAAAAAAAGCAAACAAUUUAAAUAUUUAAAUCAGCUUCAAGUUGCUCUUGGAGAAGAACUUAAGGACAAGCGAUUUCUAGUAGUAUUCGAUGAUGUGUGGAAUGAAAACUAUGACGACUGGGAAAACCUAGUGCGUCCAUUUCAUUCUAGGGCUACUGGAAGUAGGGUAAUCAUUACAACUCGCUAGCAACAACUGCUUAAAAAGAUAGGUUUUAAUCAUCUAGACCAUCUUGAGAGUUUGUCGCAUGAUGACGCUUUAUCUUUAUUUGCUUUACAUGCAUUGGGUGUAGUUAACUUUCACUUACAUGCAACACUUAAAGCACAAGCGGAAGGUAUUGUAAAAAAGUGUAGUGGUUUGCCUUUAGCUAUAAAGGCAAUUGGAAGGUUAAUGAGGACAAAAACCGAAAGAGAAGAAUGGAAUGACGUGUUGAACAGUGAGAUAUGGAAUUUAGAAAAUGCUAAUGAAAUUGUACCAGCCCUUAGGCUAAGCUACCAUGAUCUUUCUGCUGAUUCGAAGCGCUUGUUUGCAUAUUGCUCUUUGUUCCCAAAGGACUUUUUGUUUGACAAGGAGGAGUUGAUAUUAUUAUGGAUAGCUGAAGGUUAUCUGAACGAGUCAACUGCAAACAAGUCACCAGAACGUUUGGGCCAUGAAUAUUUUGAGAAAUUGCUCUCAAGGUCCUUUUUUCAACCAGCACCUAAUGACGAAUCUUUUUUUGUGAUGCAUGAUCUCAUGAACGACUUAGCCACAUUUGUUGCUGGAGAAUAUUUUUUAAGGUUUGACAAUCAGACGGAGAUGGCAGAGGAAGCUUUAGCCAAGUACCGACAUAUGUCAUUUAUGCGUGAGAACUAUGUAGGUUUCCAGAAGUUCGAGGCAUUUCAAAGAGCAAGAAGUUUGAGAACAUUGUUAGCCGUACAUGUUGGGGCGGAAACAAGAUGGAGUGAGUUUUACUUAUCCAAUAAGAUUCUGGUUGACUUACUUCCUCAGUUACCACUGUUAAGGGUUCUUUCUUUGAGGCGUUUUAAGAUAAGUGAGGUACCGGAUUCUAUUUGUUGUUUGAAACACUUGAGAUAUCUUAAUUUGUCUGAAACAAGAAUCUCAAAGUUACCAGAGAAUGUUGGUAAUCUUUAUAAUUUACUAACAUUGAUAGUUUUUGGAUGUAAGAUAUUGACCAAGUUGCCUAAAAGCUUCUUGAAGCUGAAAAAGUUAAGGCAUUUUGACAUCAGGAACACUCCACUUUUAGAGAAGUUGCCCUCAGGGAUUGGUGAGUUAAGAAACCUUCAAACUCUCACCAAGAUUGUCGUUGGAGGAGAUGGUGAGUUUGCAAUAACCGAGCUUAAGGGAUUAAAGGAUAUCCAUGGGGAAAUUUCCAUUGAGGGGUUGAACAAAGUGCAAAGCUCAAUGCAUGCACGAGAGGCAAAUUUAUCUUUAAAAAGGAUUAAUAAGUUAGUGUUAAAAUGGGAUGAUGGUUCUAGAAGGGAAACACUUGAUAAGGAGGUUCUCAAUGAGUUAAAGCCCAAUAGUGAUCAGUUGAUAAUGCUUGUGGUUAAGUCUUAUAAGGGAAUAGAGUUUCCAAAUUGGGUUGGGGAUCCGUCUUUUAAUCAACUGGUCCAUGUGUCGCUACACGGUUGUAGAAAAUGUAAAUCUCUACCGCCACUUGGGAAGCUACCUUCACUUAAGGAGUUGUCGAUUCAAGGCAUGGAUGAGGUUAAAGUCAUAGAUUUGGAGUUAACCAGGACUAAUGAUGUUCCCUUCUCCUCACUUGAAAUUCUAAGGUUUGAAGAUAUGUCGAGUUGGGAGGUAUGGUCAACCAAUAGCGAGGUAAUCUUUCCAUGCCUUCAAGAGCUUCAAAUAAAAAAAUGCCCCAAUUUGAGUGAUGUCUCGCUUGAAGCAUUACCUUCACUAAGAGUAUUAAAAAUAGAUGGAUGUUGUGAAAGUGGGCUGAGAAGUUUGGUUCGAGCAGCAUGGGCGGUUGAAGAACUAAGCAUAUUUAAUUGUAAUGAAAUUAGAUAUUCGUGGGAAUCAGAGGCAAAGGCAAGUAAAGUUCUUGUAAAUUUAAAGAAAUUGCAGGUAUAUUAUUGUAAAAAUUUGGUGAGUUUAGGAGAGAAAGAGGAGGAUGAGGAUAACAUUGGGAUCAAACUCCUAUCAUCUCUUAGGAAGUUGGAGAUACAGUCAUGUGAUAGUAUGGAGCGUUUGUUUUGUCCAAAUAGCAUUGAAAGUUUAGUUAUCAGUGAUUGUAUGCCCUCCUCCACCUGUUGUUGUUGCCUUUGAGAAGCAGACAUCUAUAUCUAUAACUUUAAGCAUUGGCAUGCUUGUGAUUGUAUGCCCUCCAACAUCUCACAGCCCUUCAACAUCUCUCCAUUUGCGGAUGCCCGCAGAUGAUCCAUCUACCAGAAACACUGUUGCCAUCACUUUUGAGUUUUAGAAUAUAUGAAGAAUGCCCAAAAUUGAAAGAAAGGUGUGCAGGAAGAGGCUCACACUACUGGCCUCUCAUCUCUCAUAUCCCGUGCAUCCAAAUAGAAGACUCUCAGGACAGUGAUUGAACCCAAGCUGUCGUUUGCAAAAGAGAUUUCUUGCUACGAAGCAACCACCCUCGACCCCAUCUUCACGUCCUAGCGGGUUUCUGAUACCACCACAACCCACGUCGUUAUGUUUUCCCGCGACACGUCAUCGACAACUGCUCACACCCUCAAGCAAGAACAGCCGAUGUAGAUUAACAAGAUCAACAUAUUGACAUCAAAAACCUUUCAGUUUUCGAAUUCUACAUUGCUUUGGAAUGGGAAACAAAAGUUCUGCCCCCCAAAAAACUGGUUUCUUCCAAUCAAUCACAGGGGGUGGGGGUAAGAAAACCCGGCCACGGUCGAACACAAAGAAAAGCCGAAAGAGUCGGUCCAAAGGCUCCGAAGUGCCACCCGAAGCCGGUUGUGCUAAUGUUCUAACGGUAUUGCAAACAAAAACCGGGAACAUAAAGGAGUUAUACACAUUAGGAAGAGAAUUAGGCCACGGACAGUUUGGGACGACGGUUUUAUGCACUGAGAAGAGUACCGGGGAUGAGUAUGCGUGUAAAAUAAUCCCGAAGAGAAGAUUGGUGUUGCAGGAGGAGAUAGAAGAUGUUAGGAGUGAAAUUCAGAUAAUGCACCAUAUGGCGGGUCACCCGAAUGUGAUAUCGAUUGUGGGUGCUUAUGAAGAUGCGGUUUCGGUUUAUGUAGUUAUGGAGCUUUGUGCUGGAGGAGAGUUGUUUGAUCGGAUUAUUGAAAGAGGGCAUUAUACGGAGAAGAAAGCAGCUGAUCUUUCGCGUGUUAUUGUUGGGGUGGUGGAGGCUUGCCAUAGUUUAGGAGUUAUGCAUCGGGAUUUAAAGCCGGAAAAUUUUCUUUUUGUUAAUGAGACAGAAGAUUCGCCUCUCAAAUCGAUAGAUUUUGGGCUGUCAGCAUUUUUUAAACCAGGUGAAAUCUUCUACGAUACGCUUGGGAGCGCAUAUUAUAUGGCACCCGAGGUGCUAAAAAAGCAUUAUGAUAACCUAUGUGAUGUUUGGAGUGCUGGUGUGAUCAUAUACAUCUUACUAUGUGGUGUUCCACCUUUUUGGGAUGAAACUGAAGAGGGGGUGUAUGAACAGGUGUUGGAAGGUGAACUUGACCUUGAAACGGAGCCAUGGCCAAGAAUAUCCGAAAGCGCAAAAGAUCUUAUUAGAGGAAUGCUUGUUAGAGAUGUCAGCAAGAGAUUGACAGCACAUGACGUCCUAAGCUGAUGGUGUGGCACCAGAUAAUCCUCUUGAUUCUGCUGUCUUAACACGCUUGAAGCAAUUCUCCGCCAUGAACAAGAUCAAGAAAAUAGCUAUAAAUGUUAUUGCUAUGAGUCUAUCUGAGGAGGAAAUUGCAGGCUUAAAAGAAAUGUUCAAGAUGAUGGACACUGAUGGAAGUAAUCAAAUCACAUUAGAAGAGUUAAAAAACGGGUUGGAAAAAGUUGGUGCCAAUAUUAAAGAUGCGGAAAUGACAAGAUUAAUGGAAGCGGCGGAUAUUGACAACAGUGGUACGAUAGAUUAUGGCGAGUUUAUAUCAGCAAUGUUGCAUUUAAACAAAGUCCAGAAAGAGGAUCAUCUGCUUGCUGCUUUCUCAUAUUUUGACAAAGACGGUAGUGGAUACAUCACUACAGAAGAACUUCAUCAAGCGUGUGAGAAGUUCGGUUUGAGUGAUAUACCUCUUGAUGAGGUUAUGGAUGAAAUCGACAAGGAUAAUGAUGGGAGGAUUGAUUAUAGUGAAUUUGUAGAUAUGAUGGAAGAGAGUGAUUUCGGAAAGAACAUCAAGCCCGGAGCAGGGGAGGAUCUUAGUUAGGGCCAGGGGGAGCCCCGGCCCCCUCUGUUAUUUCGCUUUGAAGUGUAAAUUUUAUAUGUAUCAGAACCCCCCCUCCCUAGUUUUUCCUUUAAAAUUUUCCGGCCCCUCCUAUUUAUAAGUUCAAGAUCCGCCACUAGCCCGGAAGCUAAUGCUGUCAAGAUUUGUAUUUCUGAUCUAUUGUUAGGCUGUUUUUUUAAUAACUUUGGUUCUUCUGGAUCCUGGUUUGUGUUUUGACAGUUAUUCUGCUGUAACAGUUUAAAUGAAUUUGACAGAAUACUUGUUUGAA